RNAcentral lists this ribosomal RNA (952 nucleotides) under uncultured bacterium. Its description in RNAcentral is "partial 16S ribosomal RNA". It matches the Rfam family "Bacterial small subunit ribosomal RNA", at positions 1 to 935 of the family's 1533-position model. The record is from RNAcentral.
UUAGCGNCCGCGAAUUCGCCCUUGAGUUUGAUCCUGGCUCAGAACGAACGCUGGCGGCGUGCCUAACACAUGCAAGUCGCACGAGAAAAGGACCUUCGGGUCCCCAGUAAAGUGGCGAAUGGGUGAGUAACACGUGAGUAAUGUGCCUCCGAGCGGGGGAUAACUAUUCGAAAGGAUAGCUAAUACCGCAUAAGACCACACCGGCUUCGGCUGGAGCGGUCAAAGCCUUCGGGCGCUCGGAGAUCAGCUCGCGGUCCAUUAGCUAGUUGGUGAGGUAACGGCUCACCAAGGCAUUUAUGGAUAGCUGGUCUGAGAGGACGAUCAGCCACACUGGGACUGAGACACGGCCCAGACUCCUACGGGAGGCAGCAGUGGGGAAUCUUGCGCAAUGGGCGAAAGCCUGACGCAGCAACGCCGCGUGAGUGAAGAAGGCCUUCGGGUCGUAAAGCUCUGUCUGGAGGGAAGAAAACCCGCAUUGUCGGGCGUGACGGUACCUCCGAAGGAAGCACCGGCUAACUCCGUGCCAGCAGCCGCGGUAAUACGGAGGGGGUUAGCGUUGUUCGGAAUUACUGGGCGUAAAGCGCGCGUAGGCGGAUUGGAAAGUAUGGGGUGAAAUCCCAGGGCUCAACCCUGGAACUGCCUCAUAAACUCCCAGUCUUGAGUUCGAGAGAGGUGAGUGGAACUCCGAGUGUAGAGGUGAAAUUCGUAGAUAUUCGGAAGAACACCAGUGGCGAAGGCGGCUCACUGGCUCGAUACUGACGCUGAGGUGCGAAAGUGUGGGGAGCAAACAGGAUUAGAUACCCUGGUAGUCCACACCGUAAGCGAUGAAUGCCAGUCGUCGGGUAGCAUGCUAUUCGGUGACACACCUAACGGAUUAAGCAUUCCGCCUGGGGGNNUACNGUCGCAAGAUUAAAACUCAAANGAAUUGACGGGGGGNCNGCACAAGCNGNNG